RNAcentral lists this unclassified non-coding RNA (253 nucleotides) under uncultured Micrococcales bacterium. Its description in RNAcentral is "contains 16S-23S intergenic spacer region". It matches the Rfam family "Bacterial small subunit ribosomal RNA", at positions 524 to 776 of the family's 1533-position model. The record is from RNAcentral. Lineage: Bacteria; Bacillati; Actinomycetota; Actinomycetes; Micrococcales.
UACGUAGGGUGCAAGCGUUGUCCGGAAUUAUUGGGCGUAAAGAGCUCGUAGGCGGUUUGUCGCGUCUGCUGUGAAAACGCGAGUCUCAACCUCGCGCCUGCAGUGGGUACGGGCAGACUAGAGUGUGGUAGGGGAGAUUGGAAUUCCUGGUGUAGCGGUGGAAUGCGCAGAUAUCAGGAGGAACACCGAUGGCGAAGGCAGAUCUCUGGGACAUUACUGACGCUGAGGAGCGAAAGCGUGGGGAGCGAACAGG